RNAcentral lists this ribosomal RNA (253 nucleotides) under uncultured bacterium. Its description in RNAcentral is "partial 16S ribosomal RNA". It matches the Rfam family "Bacterial small subunit ribosomal RNA", at positions 524 to 776 of the family's 1533-position model. The record is from RNAcentral.
UACGGGGGGGGCAAGCGUUGUUCGGAAUUACUGGGCGUAAAGGGCUCGUAGGCGGCCAACUAAGUCGGACGUGAAAUCCCCGGGCUCAACCUGGGAACUGCAUUUGUGACUGCAUGGCUAGAGUACGGCAGAGGGGGAUGGAAUUCCGCGUGUAGCAGUGAAAUGCGUAGAUAUGCGGAGGAACACCGAUGGCGAAGGCAAUCCCCUGGGCCUGUACUGACGCUCAUGCACGAAAGCGUGGGGAGCAAACAGG